UAACGAGAAAGCCCCGGUAACUACGUGCCAGCAGCGCGGUAAUACGUAGGGGGCGAGCGUUUCGGAAUAUUGGGUAAAGCGCGCGCAGGCGGUCCCUUAAGUCUGAUGGAAAGCCCACGGCUCAACCGUGGAGGGUCAUUGGAAACUGGGGGACUGAGUGCAGAAGAGGAGAGCGAAUUCCACGUGUAGCGGUGAAAUGCGUAGAAUGGGAGGAACCGGGGAAGGGGUUUGUCUGUAACUGACGAGGCGAAAGCGUGGGGACAAACAGAUUAGACCCUGGUGUCCCCCGUAAACGGAGUAGUUUAGGGGGUUAACCUUUAGUGCUGUAGCUAACGCGUUAAGCACUCCGCCUGGGGAGUACGGCCGCAGGCUAAACUCAAGGAUUGAGGGGCCCGCACAAGCGGUGAGCAUGUGUUUAUUGAAGCAACGCGAAGACUUCCAGGUUUGACAUCCCCUGACACCCGGAGACAGGUUC
Molecule: ribosomal RNA, 475 nt
Filed under: Parageobacillus thermoglucosidasius
Lineage: Bacteria; Bacillati; Bacillota; Bacilli; Caryophanales; Anoxybacillaceae
Description: bacterial SSU rRNA
Rfam family: Bacterial small subunit ribosomal RNA
Source: RNAcentral